This 653-nucleotide long non-coding RNA is filed under the name Salvia miltiorrhiza (redroot sage). RNAcentral describes it as "long non-coding RNA (SMIL_LNC007849)". Lineage: Eukaryota; Viridiplantae; Streptophyta; Magnoliopsida; Lamiales; Lamiaceae. The record is from RNAcentral.
UGGAUGGGGGCUAGCGAGGUUAGUUUAUUAGGUUUGUUAAAUUAGGUUGUUCAUGCUUUUGAUGAUCUUGUGGCUUGUGUUAAUGUGGGUGACAUUGCAUUUUUUUCUUGAGACUUGCAUUUAAAUUAGGUUUUGGUUGAUGGUAUAGCUUUUUGGUUUUAUACCGUCGGGUAAAUUGAUAAUACCACCGAAGAAAUUCUAUUAUACCGCUGCGAAAAUCAAAGAAUACCACGACAGUAUUCUUAACUAGUCGGACGGUAUAUUUAAACACCACGACGAUAUUAUUAACUAAUUCGAUGAUAUUUAAGUGUCAAAACUUGUAUGUGUUGUUUCUAUAAAUUAUUAAGGUAUUUUGAAUAAUUGAUGCAGAUCAUUAUUCCAUGUGUUAUCAAAGAGCAUAUUGUUAUUGUUCGAAUCUAUCCCGGACUUUGGCAAGCAGAAUUGUUCGAUCCAAAGUAUCAUGGUUUGGAUGAACAAUCAAAGAUUGAUCGGAGCGAUCAAAUACAACCACUAAUAACUUUGUUCUCUCAAGUAUUGGAUUGUGCUGGAUACUGGGCUUCAAACGAGUUAGCUUUGACGAGGAAGAGCCAUCAAUUAGAAAUGUUCAUUCCGGGUCCACAUGAGCAGUUUACCCAGAAGGACUCGUAUUCAUC